Molecule: ribosomal RNA, 253 nt
Filed under: uncultured bacterium
Lineage: Bacteria
Description: partial 16S ribosomal RNA
Rfam family: Bacterial small subunit ribosomal RNA
Source: RNAcentral
UACGUAGGAGGCAAGCGUUAUCCGGAAUGACUGGGCGUAAAGGGUGCGUAGGUGGUUUGGCAAGUUGGCAGCGUAAUCCCGGGGCUCAACUCCGGUGCUACUGCCAAAACUGUCGGACUUGAGUGCAGGAGGGGUGAAUGGAAUUCCUAGUGUAGCGGUGGAAUGCGUAGAUAUUAGGAAGAACACCAGCGGCGAAGGCGAUUCACUGGACUGUAACUGACACUGAGGCACGAAAGCGUGGGGAGCAAACAGG